CCCUUAGAUGUUCUGGGCUGCACGCGCGCUACACUGAUGCAUCCAACAAGUUUUUUCCUUGUUCGAGAGGACUAGGUAAUCUUUUGAGAAUGCAUCGUGAUGGGGAUAGAUUAUUGCAAUUAUUAAUCUUCAACGAGGAAUUCCUAGUAAGCGCGAGUCAUAAGCUCGCGUUGAUUACGUCCCUGCCCUUUGUACACACCGCCCGUCGCUACUACCGAUUGGAUGGUUUAGUGAGAUCCUCGGAUUGGUCCCGGAGCGGCCUCUGGUCGUGCCGGAGUGCCGAAAAGAAUGUCGAACUUGAUCAUCUAGAGGAAGUAAAAGUCGUAACA
RNAcentral lists this ribosomal RNA (329 nucleotides) under uncultured eukaryote. Its description in RNAcentral is "partial 18S ribosomal RNA". It matches the Rfam family "Eukaryotic small subunit ribosomal RNA", at positions 1470 to 1796 of the family's 1831-position model. The record is from RNAcentral.